This 693-nucleotide ribosomal RNA is filed under the name uncultured Bacillota bacterium. RNAcentral describes it as "bacterial SSU rRNA". It matches the Rfam family "Bacterial small subunit ribosomal RNA", at positions 193 to 872 of the family's 1533-position model. The record is from RNAcentral. Lineage: Bacteria; Bacillati; Bacillota.
UCAGCUUUUAAAAGGCGGCGUAAGCUGUCGCUAUGGGAUGGCCCCGCGGUGCAUUAGCUAGUUGGUAAGGUAAAGGCUUACCAAGGCGAUGAUGCAUAGCCGAGUUGAGAGACUGAUCGGCCACAUUGGGACUGAGACACGGCCCAAACUCCUACGGGAGGCAGCAGUAGGGAAUCUUCCACAAUGGGCGCAAGUCUGAUGGAGCAACGCCGCGUGAGUGAAGAAGGUUUUCGGAUCGUAAAGCUCUGUUGUUGGUGAAGAAGGAUAGAGGUAGUAACUGGCCUUUAUUUGACGGUAAUCAACCAGAAAGUCACGGCUAACUACGUGCCAGCAGCCGCGGUAAUACGUAGGUGGCAAGCGUUGUCCGGAUUUAUUGGGCGUAAAGCGAGCGCAGGCGGAAGAAUAAGUCUGAUGUGAAAGCCCUCGGCUUAACCGAGGAACUGCAUCGGAAACUGUUUUUCUUGAGUGCAGAAGAGGAGAGUGGAACUCCAUGUGUAGCGGUGGAAUGCGUAGAUAUAUGGAAGUACACCAGUGGCGAAGGCGGCUCUCUGGUCUGCAACUGACGCUGAGGCUCGAAAGCAUGGGUAGCGAACAGGAUUAGAUACCCUGGUAGUCCAUGCCGUAAACGAUGAGUGCUAAGUGUUGGGAGGUUUCCGCCUCUCAGUGCUGCAGCUAACGCAUUAAGCACUCCGC